UUAUUUCAAAUUUGUAUGGAGUUGGAACAAUUUCCCUUCUUUUGCCGCUAGGGGCGCUGUUCAAACUCCAUACAAAUUUGAGUUA
Molecule: non-coding RNA, 85 nt
Organism: Bombyx mori (domestic silkworm)
Lineage: Eukaryota; Metazoa; Arthropoda; Insecta; Lepidoptera; Bombycidae
Source: Rfam